CUGAAAUAUAUUUUGGUAUAUGAAGUUUGAAACUAAAUAUAUACUUUUAAAAAAUAUCCAGUGUCACUGUUUACAACAUCUACUGUAGAUUUAGCACACAUUUGAAAUGUUUUGGCCUUUUGUUUUUUGAGAGAAAAGGGAAAUGGAAUUAGGACUUAUUGCAUGUCUUUGAAAAGUGCAAUAUUUGACAGCACAUUAUAUUUCCCAUUCGCAUUUAACAUGUUAUUAUUAGUCAUUUAACUGACAGUCUCUUGUGAGUUCCCCCGUUGAUUUAUGAGUCCCUCUUUCUUAUAUAAAAGUUUAACAUUCAUUUACUUAGCAUGCAGUUUCAUGCAAAAAACAAAACAAAAACAGGUGUUAACUACCUGUUAGAUAAGCCUCACAGUUACAUUUGCAAGCUUUCAAUGAAUGCAUUUAGGGUCAAGCAAAAAAAAAAAGUCUAAAAUAUCCAGUUCAAUUAAAUAUAAGCAGAUGAUACCACACAGGAGAAAUAAACAUAGGGAAUUAUCAGGUCCAUUGGACCGUGCUCAUAACUGAACAUGUGAGACACCGCAAAAAACACUCUAACAACCCAGAAAGUCUGAAAUCUUGUGCAGCUGAGACCGCAAGUAGAAAUGGAUUUUGGAUGUGAUGUCUGUUGUAGAAACUCAGGAAGAAGAAAAGUCAAAGCAAGAUGACUAAUCUGUGGGCCCUGGAUGUUUUUGUGCAAAGAUAAAUCAAGUGAAGCAACGUCAAGUCUCGUUAGUAAAUGAUGAAUCAGGUCGAAUAUUUUGCAAAUACGACCCGGAGCGGUUUCCUGGAAAAUCUUGACAUCAUUUACACAGCUGCUCAUGUAAACGGAUCAUCCUGAGCCUUUAUUACACUUGAGAGCCCUGCGGUGGAGUUUCCUACAAGUGGUCAGGCUUCAGCUUAGGAUCCGUCAGGGAGGUGAAGACCUCCCACUGGCGUCUGGGUAGAAACGGACCAAAGAUAGACAGCACUAAAUGCUGUGCUCAGUUUUCUGACAGCACCUCCCGACAGAUGAAAUCCAACCUUUAUGGCUCUGAAAUAUUAAUGUCGAUGCUCAAUGUCUUUUCACUCUGUAAGUAUGCCAUGCUUUGUUCAUCUUGUUUCAAUUUCCCUUAGUGAACAUCCCACCCGUUUUUAAGAUAAUGAGGCAGAUCAUCACUCUUUUGGAAUUUU
Molecule: long non-coding RNA, 1182 nt
Filed under: Carassius auratus (goldfish)
Lineage: Eukaryota; Metazoa; Chordata; Actinopteri; Cypriniformes; Cyprinidae
Description: lncRNA (ENSCARG00000025701.1)
Source: RNAcentral